Long non-coding RNA from Mercenaria mercenaria, 2351 nucleotides. RefSeq lists it as uncharacterized. The record is from RefSeq and is a predicted model, not a curated record. The transcript has 2 exons. Lineage: Eukaryota; Metazoa; Mollusca; Bivalvia; Venerida; Veneridae.
CCAAUUUUCAUGAAGAUCCAUUGAGAAAUAUGGCCUCUAGAGAGGUCACAAGGUUUUUCUAUUUUUAGAUCUACUGACCUAGUUUUUGACCCCAGAUGACCCAGUUUCAAACUCAACCUAGAUAUCAUCAAGAUGAACAUUCUCACCAAUUUUCAUGAAGAUCUCAUGAAAAAUAUGGCCUCUAGAGAGGUCACAAGGUUUUUCUAUUUUUAGAUCUACUGACCUAGUUUUUGACCCCACGUGACCCAGUUUCGAACUUGACCUAGAUAUCAUCAAGGUGAACAUUCUGACCAAUUUUCAUGAAGAUCCAUUGAGAAAUAUGGCCUCUAGAGAGGUCACAAGGUUUUUCUAUUUUUUGACCUGCUGACCUAGUUUUUGACCCCAUGUGACCCAGUUUCGAACUUGACCUAGAUAUUAUCGGGGUGAACAUUCUGACUAAUUUUCAUGAAGAUCUCAUGAAAAAUAUGGCCUCUAGAGAGGUCACAAGGUUUUUCUAUUUUUAGAUGUACUGACCUAGUUUUUGACCGCAUGUGACCCAGUUUCGAACUUGACCUAGAUAUCAUCAAGAUGAACAUUCUGACCAACUUUCAUAAAGAUCCCAUGAAAAAUGUGACCUCUAGAGUGGUCACAAGCAAAAGUUUACGCACGCACGGACGACGGACGCCACGCGAUCACAAAGCUCACCUUGUCACUUUGUGACAGGUGAGCUAAAAAUAGAAAAACCUUGUGACCUCUCUAGAGGCCAUAUGUUUCAUGAGAGCUUCAUGAAAAUUGGUCAGAAUAUUCAUCUUGAUGAUAUCUAGGUCAAGUUCGAAAGUGGGUCACGUGCCGUUAAAAACUAGGUCAGUAGGUCAAAUAAUAGAAAAACCUUGAGACCUCUCUAGAGGUCAUAUUUUUCAUGGGAUCUGUCUGAAAGUUGGUCUGAAUGUUCAUCUUGAUGAUAUCUAGGUCAAGUUGGAAAGUGGGUCACGUACGGUCAAAAACUAGGUCAGUAGGUCUAAAAAUAGAAAAACCUUGUGACCUCUCUAGAGGCCAUACUUGUGAAUGGAUCUUCAUAAAAAUUGGUCAGAAUGUUCAUCUUGAUGAUAUCUAGGUCAAGUUCGAAAGUAGGUCACGUGCCAUCAAAAAGUGGGUCAGUAGGUCAAAUAAUGAAAAAACGUUGUGACCUCUCUAGAGGCUAUAUUUUUCAUGGGAUCUGUAUGAAAGUUAGUCUGAAUGUUUAUGUUGAUGAUAUAUAGGUCAAGUUUGAAACUGGGUCAACUGCAAUCAAAAACUAGGUCAGUAGGUCUUGAAAGAGAAAAACCUUGUGACCUCUCUAGAGGCCAUACCCUUGAAUGGAUCUUUAUGAAAAUUGGUCAGAAUGUUCUCCUUGAUGAUAUCUAGGUCAAGUUUGAAACUUGGUCACAUGCCGUUAAAAACUAGGUCAGUAGGUCAAAUAAUAUAAAAACCUUGUGACAUCUCUAGAGGCCAUACUUUUCAUGGGAUCUGUAUGAAAGAUGGUCUGAAUGUUCAUCUUGAUGAUAUCUAGGUCAAGUUUGAAACUGGAUCAACUGCGGUCAAAAACUAGGUCAGUAGGUCUAAAAUUAUUAAAAUCUUUUGACCUCUCUAGAGGCCAUAUUUUUCAAUGGAUCUUCAUGAAAAUUGAUCUGAAUGUUUACCUUGAUGAUAUCUAGGUCAGUUUCGAAACUGGGUCACGUGCGGUCAAAAACUAGGCCAGUAGGUAUAAAAAUAGAAAAACCUUGUGACCUCUCUAGAGGCCAUAUUUUUCAUGAGAUCUUCAUGAAAAUUAGUGAGAAUGUGCACCUUGAUGAUAUCUAGAUAAAGUUCAAAACAGGGUCACGUACCUUCGAAAACUAGGUCAAUAGGUCAAAUAAUAGAAAAACCUUGUGACCUCUCUAGAGACCAUAUUUUUCAAUGGAUCUUCAUGAAAAUUGGUCAGAAUUUUUAUCUUGAUAAUAUCUAGGUCAAGUUCAAAACUGGGUCACAUGAGCUCAAAAACUAGGUCACUAUGUCAAAUAAUAGAAAAAACGACGUCAUACUCAAAACUGGAUCAUGUGGGAAGAGGUGAGCGAUUCAGGACCAUCAUGAUCCUCUUGUUAUCUAUAUGAAACUUUCAGAAUAUCUUAGUUUGUAUAAACAUACUGCUUAUUUAAGAAUUUUGAAUAUAAUUAUGUUUUUGAAAUUUCCUUAGACCAAAAAAAACAUGGAUUGCAUUUUCUCAAACAUUAACUAACCAUUUCUUUGGGGCCAUUUUCAUAGGUUCCUAGACUAAUGUAAAUAUGUCAUUGAAAUUUAUGUAAAUGUGUCGUUAAAAUUUACAAGAAUUCUGUGAUAUUAAAUGUUAUAGCUGA